Anopheles funestus (African malaria mosquito) is the source of this 7304-nucleotide long non-coding RNA. RefSeq lists it as uncharacterized. The record is from RefSeq and is a predicted model, not a curated record. The transcript has 6 exons. Lineage: Eukaryota; Metazoa; Arthropoda; Insecta; Diptera; Culicidae.
AAGAAACACAUUGCAACCGAUUGGCAUUAAAAUAAAUCAAUUUAAUUUUUUUUGCAAAAUUUCUCGAAAAAAACGUAAGGGGUAAGCCUUAUGAAAUUUUCGAGUGGAAAAUUUUUUUGAAUUUUUUUUCUGAUUUUUUAUUCUUUUUUUAAUUUAAAGCAUUAUUUGAGUGAAAAGAAACACAUUGCAACAAAUUCGCAAUAAAAUAUAUCACAUUUAAAAAUUUUGCUGAAUUGCAGAAAAAUGAGGAAAAUUUUACAUUUUCUCAAACAGGGUAAGGAACUUGGUUUCUCGAAUAACUUCUGGCACAGACAUCUGAGGGCAUGGCCGUCUGAGAAGAAAAUGUAGCCAUUGUUGCCAUCUAUCGACCACAGGUUAAAGAUUGGCGAUCCGUUGGAUACCGACCGAGUUAUAGACAAAACUUGGUGCAAAAAUGAGGAAAAUUUUACAUUUUCUCAAACAGGGUAAGGAACUUGGUUUCUCGAAUAACUUCUGGCACAUACAUCUGAGGGCAUGGCCGUCCGAGAAGAAAAUGUAGCAAUUGUUGCCAUCUAUCGACCACAGGUUAAAGAUUGGCGAUCCGUUGGAUACCGACCGAGUUAUAGGCAAAACUUGGUGCAAGAAUGAGCCUUAGUAAAUUUUUGUUUUUUUGAUUUUUUUGAUUUUUUGAUUAUUUUUCACUUUUUUUUUAUUUAAAGCAUUUCUUGAGUGAAAAGAAACACAUUGCAACCGAUUGGCAUUAAAAUAAAUCAAUUUAAUUUUUUUUGCAAAAUUUCUCAAAAAAAACGUAAGGGGUAAGCCUUAUGAAAUUUUCGGGUGGAAAAUUUUUUUGAAAUUUUUUUCUGAUUUUUUAUUCUUUUUUUAAUUUAAAGCAUUAUUUGAGUGAAAAGAAACUUAUUGCAACAAAUUCGCAAUAAAAUAUAUCACAUUUAAAAAUUUUGCUGAAUUGCAGAAAAAUGAGGAAAAUUUUACAUUUUCUCAAACAGGGUAAGGAACUUGGUUUCUCGAAUAACUUCUGGCACAGACAUCUGAGGGCAUGGCCGUCGGAGAAGAAAAUGUAGCCAUUGUUGCCAUCUAUCGACCACAGGUUAAAGAUUGGCGAUCCGUUGGAUACCGACCGAGUUAUAGACAAAACUUGGUGCAAAAAUGAGGAAAAUUUUACAUUUUCUCAAACAGGGUAAGGAACUUGGUUUCUCGAAUAACUUCUGGUACAUACAUCUGAGGGCAUGGCCGUCCGAGAAGAAAAUGUAGCAAUUGUUGCCAUCUAUCGACCACAGGUUAAAGAUUGGCGAUCCGUUGGAUACCGACCGAGUUAUAGGCAAAACUUGGCGCAAAAAUGAGCCUUUGUAAAUUUUUGUUUUUUUGAUUUUUUUGAUUUUUUGAUUAUUUUUCACUUUUUUUUUAUUUAAAGCAUUUCUUGAGUGAAAAGAAACACAUUGCAACCGAUUGGCAUUAAAAUAAAUCAAUUUAAUUUUUUUUGCAAAAUUUCUCAAAAAAAACGUAAGGGGUAAGCCUUAUGAAAUUUUCGGGUGGAAAAUUGUUUUGAAAUUUUUUUCUGAUUUUUUAUUCUUUUUUUAAUUUAAAGCAUUAUUUGAGUGAAAAGAAACUUAUUGCAACAAAUUCGCAAUAAAAUAUAUCACAUUUAAAAAUUUUGCUGAAUUGCAGAAAAAUGAGGAAAAUUUUACAUUUUCUCAAACAGGGUAAGGAACUUGGUUUCUCGAAUAACUUCUGGCACAGACAUCUGAGGGCAUGGCCGUCUGAGAAGAAAAUGUAGCCAUUGUUGCCAUCUAUCGACCACAGGUUAAAGAUUGGCGAUCCGUUGGAUACCGACCGAGUUAUAGACAAAACUUGGUGCAAAAAUGAGGAAAAUUUUACAUUUUCUCAAACAGGGUAAGGAACUUGGUUUCUCGAAUAACUUCUGGCACAUACAUCUGAGGGCAUGGCCGUCCGAGAAGAAAAUGUAGCAAUUGUUGCCAUCUAUCGACCACAGGUUAAAGAUUGGCGAUCCGUUGGAUACCGACCGAGUUAUAGGCAAAACUUGGUGCAAAAAUGAGCCUUUGUAAAUUUUUGUUUUUUUGAUUUUUUUGAUUUUUUGAUUAUUUUUCACUUUUUUUUUAUUUAAAGCAUUUCUUGAGUGAAAAGAAACACAUUGCAACCGAUUGGCAUUAAAAUAAAUCAAUUUAAUUUUUUUUGCAAAAUUUCUCAAAAAAAACGUAAGGGGUAAGCCUUAUGAAAUUUUCGAGUGGAAAAUUUUUUUGAAAUUUUUUUCUGAUUUUUUAUUCUUUUUUUAAUUUAAAGCAUUAUUUGAGUGAAAAGAAACACAUUGCAACAAAUUCGCAAUAAAAUAUAUCACAUUUAAAAAUUUUGCUGAAUUGCAGAAAAAUGAGGAAAAUUUUACAUUUUCUCAAACAGGGUAAGGAACUUGGUUUCUCGAAUAACUUCUGGCACAUACAUCUGAGGGCAUGGCCGUCCGAGAAGAAAAUGUAGCAAUUGUUGCCAUCUAUCGACCACAGGUUAAAGAUUGGCGAUCCGUUGGAUACCGACCGAGUUAUAGACAAAACUUGGUUCAAAAAUGAGCCUUUGUAAAUUUUUGUUUUUUUGAUUUUUUUGAUUUUUUGAUUAUUUUUCACUUUUUUUUAUUUAAAGCAUUUCUUGAGUGAAAAGAAACACAUUGCAACCGAUUGGCAUUAAAAUAAAUCAAUUUAAUUUUUUUUGCAAAAUUUCUCAAAAAAAACGUAAGGGGUAAGCCUUAUGAAAUUUUCGAGUGGAAAAUUGUUUUGAAAUUUUUUUCUGAUUUUUUAUUCUUUUUUUAAUUUAAAGCAUUAUUUGAGUGAAAAGAAACUUAUUGCAACAAAUUCGCAAUAAAAUAUAUCACAUUUAAAAAUUUGCUGAAUUGCAGAAAAAUGAGGAAAAUUUUACAUUUUCUCAAACAGUGUAAGGAACUUGGUUUCUCGAGUAACUUCUGGCACAUACAUCUGAGGGCAUGGCCGUCGGAGAAGAAAAUGUAGCCAUUGUUGCCAUCUAUCGACCACAGGUUAAAGAUUGGCGAUUCGUUGGAUACCGACCGAGUUAUAGACAAAACUUGGUGCAAAAAUGAGGAAAAUUUUACAUUUUCUCAAACAGGGUAAGGAACUUGGUUUCUCGAAUAACUUCUGGCACAUACAUCUAAGGGCAUGGCCGUCCGAGAAGAAAAUGUAGCCAUUGUUGCCAUCUAUCGACCACAGGUUAAAGAUUGGCGAUCCGUUGGAUACCGACCGAGUUAUAGGCAAAACUUGGUGCAAAAAUGAGCCUUUGUAAAUUUUUGUUUUUUUGAUUUUUUUGAUUUUUUGAUUAUUUUUCACUUUUUUUUUAUUUAAAGCAUUUCUUGAGUGAAAAGAAACACAUUGCAACCGAUUGGCAUUAAAAUAAAUCAAUUUAAUUUUUUUUGCAAAAUUUCUCAAAAAAAACGUAAGGGGUAAGCCUUAUGAAAUUUUCGAGUGGAAAAUUUUUUUGAAAUUUUUUUCUGAUUUUUUAUUCUUUUUUUAAUUUAAAGCAUUAUUUGAGUGAAAAGAAACACAUUGCAACAAAUUCGCAAUAAAAUAUAUCACAUUUAAAAAUUUUGCUGAAUUGCAGAAAAAUGAGGAAAAUUUUACAUUUUCUCAAACAGGGUAAGGAACUUAGUUUCUCGAAUAACUUCUGGCACAGACAUCUGAGGGCAUGGCCGUCCGAGAAGAAAAUGUAGCCAUUGUUGCCAUCUAUCGACCACAGGUUAAAGAUUGGCGAUCCGUUGGAUACCGACCGAGUUAUAGGCAAAACUUGGUGCAAAAAUGAGCCUUAGUAAAUUUUUAUUUUUUUGAUUUUUUUGAUUUUUUGAUUAUUUUUCACUUUUUUUUUAUUUAAAGCAUUUCUUGAGUGAAAAGAAACACAUUGCAACCGAUUGGCAUUAAAAUAAAUCAAUUUAAUUUUUUUUGCAAAAUUUCUCAAAAAAACCGUAAGGGGUAAGCCUUAUGAAAUUUUCGAGUGGAAAAUUUUUUUGAAAUUUUUUUCUGAUUUUUUAUUCUUUUUUUAAUUUAAAGCAUUAUUUGAGUGAAAAGAAACUUAUUGCAACAAAUUCGCAAUAAAAUAUAUCACAUUUAAAAAAUUUGCUGAAUUGCAGAAAAAUGAGGAAAAUUUUACAUUUUCUCAAACAGUGUAAGGAACUUGGUUUCUCGAAUAACUUCUGGCACAUACAUCUGAGGGCAUGGCCGUCGGAGAAGAAAAUGUAGCCAUUGUUGCCAUCUAUCGACCACAGGUUAAAGAUUGGCGAUUCGUUGGAUACCGACCGAGUUAUAGACAAAACUUGGUGCAAAAAUGAGGAAAAUUUUACAUUUUCUCAAACAGGGUAAGGAACUUGGUUUCUCGUAUAAAUUCUGGCACAUACAUCUAAGGGCAUGGCCGUCCGAGAAGAAAAUGUAGCCAUUGUUGCCAUCUAUCGACCACAGGUUAAAGAUUGGCGAUCCGUUGGAUACCGACCGAGUUAUAGGCAAAAUUUGGUGCAAAAAUGAGGAAAAUUUUACAUUUUCUCAAACAGGGUAACGAACUUGGUUUCUCGAAUUACUUCUGGCACAGACAUCUGAGGGCAUGGCCGUCCGAGAAGAAAAUGUAGCCAUUGUUGCCAUCUAUCGACCACAGGUUAAAGAUUGACGAUCCGUUGGAUACCGACCGAGUUAUAGACAAAACUUGGUGCAAGAAUGAGCCUUAGUAAAUUUUUAUUUUUUUGAUUUUUUUGAUUUUUUGAUUAUUUUUCACUUUUUUUUUAUUUAAAGCAUUUCUUGAGUGAAAAGAAACACAUUGCAACCGAUUGGCAUUAAAAUAAAUCAAUUUAAUUUUUUUUGCAAAAUUUCUCAAAAAAAACGUAAGGGGUAAGCCUUAUGAAAUUUUCGAGUGGAAAAUUGUUUUGAAAUUUUUUUCUGAUUUUUAUUCUUUUUUUAAUUUAAAGCAUUAUUUGAGUGAAAAGAAACACAUUGCAACAAAUUCGCAAUAAAAUAUAUCACAUUUAAAAAUUUUGCUGAAUUGCAGAAAAAUGAGGAAAAUUUUACAUUUUCUCAAACAGGGUAAGGAACUUGGUUUCUCGAAUAACUUCUGGCACAGACAUCUAAGGGCAUGGCCGUCUGAGAAGAAAAUGUAGCCAUUGUUGCCAUCUAUCGACCACAGGUUAAAGAUUGGCGAUCCGUUGGAUACCGACCGAGUUAUAGACAAAACUUGGUGCAAAAAUGAGGAAAAUUUUACAUUUUCUCAAACAGGGUAAGGAACUUGGUUUCUCGAAUAACUUCUGGCACGUACAUCUGAGGGCAUGGCCGUCCGAGAAGAAAAUGUAGCCAUUGUUGCCAUCUAUCGACCACAGGUUAAAGAUUGGCGAUCCGUUGGAUACCGACCGAGUUAUAGGCAAAACUUGGUGCAAAAAUGAGCCUUUGUAAAUUUUUAUUUUUUUGAUUUUUUUGAUUUUUUGAUUAUUUUUCACUUUUUUUUUAUUUAAAGCAUUUCUUGAGUGAAAAGAAACACAUUGCAACCGAUUGGCAUUAAAAUAAAUCAAUUUAAUUUUUUUUUGCAAAAUUUCUCAAAAAAAACGUAAGGGGUAAGCCUUAUGAAAUUUUCGAGUGGAAAAUUGUUUUGAAAUUUUUUUCUGAUUUUUUAUUCUUUUUUUAAUUUAAAGCAUUAUUUGAGUGAAAAGAAACUUAUUGCAACAAAUUCGCAAUAAAAUAUAUCACAUUUAAAAAUUUGCUGAAUUGCAGAAAAAUGAGGAAAAUUUUACAUUUUCUCAAACAGUGUAAGGAACUUGGUUUCUCGAGUAACUUCUGGCACAUACAUCUGAGGGCAUGGCCGUCGGAGAAGAAAAUGUAGCCAUUGUUGCCAUCUAUCGACCACAGGUUAAAGAUUGGCGAUUCGUUGGAUACCGACCGAGUUAUAGACAAAACUUGGUGCAAAAAUGAGGAAAAUUUUACAUUUUCUCAAACAGGGUAAGGAACUUGGUUUCUCGAAUAACUUCUGGCACAUACAUCUAAGGGCAUGGCCGUCCGAGAAGAAAAUGUAGCCAUUGUUGCCAUCUAUCGACCACAGGUUAAAGAUUGGCGAUCCGUUGGAUACCGACCGAGUUAUAGGCAAAACUUGGUGCAAAAAUGAGCCUUUGUAAAUUUUUAUUUUUUUGAUUUUUUUGAUUUUUUGAUUAUUUUUCACUUUUUUUUUAUUUAAAGCAUUUCUUGAGUGAAAAGAAACACAUUGCAACCGAUUGGCAUUAAAAUAAAUCAAUUUAAUUUUUUUUGCAAAAUUUCUCAAAAAAAACGUAAGGGGUAAGCCUUAUGAAAUUUUCGAGUGGAAAAUUGUUUUGAAAUUUUUUUCUGAUUUUUUAUUCUUUUUUUAAUUUAAAGCAUUAUUUGAGUGAAAAGAAACUUAUUGCAACAAAUUCGCAAUAAAAUAUAUCACAUUUAAAAAUUUGCUGAAUUGCAGAAAAAUGAGGAAAAUUUUACAUUUUCUCAAACAGUGUAAGGAACUUGGUUUCUCGAAUAACUUCUGGCACAGACAUCUGAGGGCAUGGCCGUCGGAGAAGAAAAUGUAGCCAUUGUUGCCAUCUAUCGACCACAGGUUGAAGAUUGGCGAUCCGUUGGAUACCGACCGAGUUAUAGACAAAACUUGGUGCAAAAAUGAGGAAAAUUUUACAUUUUCUCAAACAGGGUAAGGAACUUGGUUUCUCGAAUAACUUCUGGCACAUACAUCUAAGGGCAUGGCCGUCCGAGAAGAAAAUGUAGCCAUUGUUGCCAUCUAUCGACCACAGGUUAAAGAUUGGCGAUCCGUUGGAUACCGACCGAGUUAUAGGCAAAACUUGGUGCAAAAAUGAGCCUUUGUAAAUUUUUGUUUUUUUGAUUUUUUUGAUUUUUUGAUUAUUUUUCACUUUUUUUUUAUUUAAAGCAUUUCUUGAGUGAAAAGAAACACAUUGCAACCGAUUGGCAUUAAAAUAAAUCAAUUUAAUUUUUUUUGCAAAAUUUCUCAAAAAAAACGUAAGGGGUAAGCCUUAUGAAAUUUUCGAGUGGAAAAUUUUUUUGAAAUUUUUUUCAGAUUUUUUAUUCUCUUUUUAAUUUAAAGCAUUAUUUGAGUGAAAAGAAACUUAUUGCAACAAAUUCGCAAUAAAAUAUAUCACAUUUAAAAAUUUUGCUGAAUUGCAGAAAAAUGAGGAAAAUUUUACAUUUUCUCAAACAGGGUAAGGAACUUGGUUUCUCGAAUAACUUCUGGCACAGACAUCUGAGGGCAUGGCCGUCUGGGAAGAAAAUGUAGCCAUUGUUGCCAUCUAUCGA